AGAGGGAAGAGCCAUGAGCAGCUUGCUUCUCCAUCUUGCUGCUUGGAUAGUUACCGGAGAGCUACCGGAUAACGGAUAAGUGAAUCGGGGCGGGUGGCUCGAGGCACAUCAUGUGCUGCUGCAAAGCUUGGCCAGAGAUUUGAGGACGGCGCUCCCGUAGCAUUAAAUUGAUCAGAUGCCCUACUCUAGCUCAACCUGCCAGCUGAUCGCAUAGAAGGAAAGCAAGCUCUCUCUCUCACUGACUCACUCCCUCUCUCUCCCUCCCUCUCCCUAUCUCUCUCACUGACUCACUCUCUCACACGCACUCGCUCGAGCUCCCCGGAUUUUUCGGUCUCCAAGGCAUGCAGAUCUCCAAGACUAUAUAGCCUCCGGACCGAACGUUACCGCGAGUGACAGAACGUUUCCCCCGAGGGCGAGGUGAAAAGAAAAAGCAUACCGUACCGGCGGGCGGGCGGCGUGGGCUUUGGUUUUUGGUUUGGGGGAGCGUCGAGCUUGGGGGGGGGUGAUGGAGGGAAAGCGGUACCUUGGCUGCGCCCGCGCCUUGCCUGGUGGCGGAGAAGACACGAGCUGCUACUAGAGCGAGAAUCCAACUAACCGCGCUUCAGUUGCUGUAGCUGUCGGUCGACGUCUCCUGCACAGAAUUGAUGAUGCCACUUCUUCACACGGCCGUUUUCACCUCAUCCAUUUUAGGAUUCUAUUCACACAUUCGGAUUCUUCUCCGAACCUUGGAAUAUAGAUGAUUAGCGUGGCAUAGAUUUUUCUAUUUUCUCCUCCCUCCCUUCCCCCUAGUUUUAUGUAAAGGAGAGACAGGGAAGACCAAGACUCGGGACAGCCUGUUUUCCUAGACUAUAGACUGUAUUUUCAAACAUCUCCAAACGCAUGCUCUCUCGCUCACGCCCCAACCUGAGCACCACGACUUCUUGCUUUGAGAGAGAGAAAAACUAAAAUCACUAAAUAUCAACACAUGUGACUUAGGGUUAGGUUUUAGGAAAGCCCCAUCGUCGCCAUUUGAGGAUAAGCCAACAUAGAGGAGGCAUAAGGCUGGACUUGGCUAUUGCUCGUCUCUACUAUAAGCUAUCAAACAUUGCGGAUGGUACUGAAAAUGAUUAAUUAUUAAGGAUUUUCCCCCGUUUUCUAUUCUCGGCUAUUUUUAUCUCCAUCGAGGACAAGACAACUGCAGAUCCUCUCACGCUGAACUACUGGAGGAAAAGACGCAGUAUAUAUAUAAUGUAGGCUAGUUAUUUAGAAAUGAUUGUUAGAUUUAAUUCAUCACCUUGCUGUCAUCCAUAGCUUAUUAUCGCAUAGGAUUAGGGCUAAAUGUAUCGAUUUGUAUACCUAGUGAAAUGUACCACCGUGUUUGCAUGAGGAUUCUGUCAACCUCCAACGAGAAAAAUCAAGGAUUCCAUCCUCCUUUUUCAAUGAGAUAAAAAAAGACAUUGAUAUUUUUGCAGUUCAUUUUGGGAAUACCUUCUUACAUCAUCAAUAGGCUAAGAUAGCGAUUUUGAACCACGAACUGCUCUCGCCUGGUACAACAAACCACGCCACCACCUCUCUCUCUCUUCAACAUCACCCACCCGUUCUCCAUUUCCACUCUAAGCACACACAGCGAGAGAAGUGAAGCCACCGUUUGCUCUCUCCUCAGCUCUCCUCUGCGCUCUAGCUCUCUCUCCUCUCCUCAGCUCUUUUCCCCCGCUCUCUCCAAUGGCGGUGUCUUGGCCGUGAAGACCUGCUAGAGUGAGAGAGUAUCGUAGACCUAUAGACUAACAGACAGACCGACAGACAGAGCGACAGAAAGACCCACUGCCACCUAUAGGUUCUGCAUGUGUGUUUCCUCCGGAGAUCGAUGGGGUGUAAUGUGGAACGAUCACUGUGACUAUCCUCUCUGGUUCUUUCUUAACGAUCGCCGUCUGGUCUCCCCACUCCCUACAGAAUGGCACGCUUCGGUGACGAGGUGCCGAACCGAGGAGGUGGAGGAGGCGGAGGUGGAAGUGGAGGCGGUGGCAAUGCCGGUCCUCUGGGGGCCCCUGGCCGUGGCGGGAGCCGGCAAGGCGGACCCCCGGGGGGCCAGCGUGUGUACAAGCAGUCGAUGGCCCAGCGGGCCCGGACUAUGGCUCUGUACAACCCAAUCCCGGUCCGACAAAGCUGCUUUACACUCAACCGCUCUCUCUUCAUCUUCAGUGAGGACAACUUUGUGAGAAAAGCUGCCAAAAAGAUUACUGAAUGGCCUCCUUUUGAAUGGAUGAUUUUGGCAACCAUCAUAGCUAACUGUAUCGUCCUGGCUCUGGAACAGCAUUUACCUGAGAAUGACAAAACUCCUCUUUCUGAGAGACUGGAUGAUACAGAGCCCUACUUCAUAGCCAUCUUCUGUUUUGAGUCAGGUAUAAAGAUUCUGGCUCUGGGCUUUGCCCUCCAUAAGGGCUCCUACCUGAGGAAUGGAUGGAACGCUAUGGACUUUGUAGUAGUGCUCACUGGUAUAUUGUCGGCGGUUGGCUCCGAAUUUGACCUGCGGACACUGAGAGCAGUCAGGGUUCUGCGACCACUUAAGUUGGUGUCAGGGAUUCCCAGCCUGCAGGUGGUACUCAAGUCCAUCAUGAAGGCUAUGAUCCCCCUGCUGCAAAUCGGACUGCUUCUCUUUGUGGCCAUUCUGAUGUUCGCCAUCAUCGGCCUUGAGUUCUAUAUGGGAAAGUUCCACACCACCUGUUUCGACAUCGCCACUGAUGAGAUUUAUGAUGAGUUGCCAUGCGGUACAGAGUUACCGUCCAGAUUGUGUCCUAAUGGGACCACGUGUAAAGGCUAUUGGCUGGGGCCCAACUAUGGGAUCACCCAAUUCGACAACAUUCUCUUUGCUGUCCUCACUGUAUUCCAAUGUAUCACCAUGGAGGGUUGGACCGACAUGUUAUACUAUAGUAAUGAUGUAGAGGGAAGUGCCUGGAACUGGAUGUACUACAUCCCCCUCAUCAUCAUCGGGUCCUUCUUCAUGUUAAAUCUGGUGCUGGGCGUCCUCUCAGGAGAGUUUGCCAAAGAGAGAGAGCGAGUGGAGAACCGUGCAGAGUUCCUCAAAUUGAGACGCCAGCAACAAAUAGAGAGAGAGCUAAACGGUUAUCUAGAAUGGAUCUGUAAAGCAGAGGAGGUCCUUCUGAAUGAGGAUGGUACCAUUUUUACCGGUACCGUCAAGACCAAGAACAAGAAAGAGCUGCUGAAUCCAGAGGAGGGGGAAGACGGUGGAGCUAAUGGAGACCCGUUUGGCCGAGGUGGUCUACAGGAUGGGUCCAACUACAAUAGGAACGAGCGGCGGAUCCGGUUCUUCAUCCGUAAGAUGGUGAAGACUCAGGCCUUCUACUGGACCGUACUGAGUCUGGUGGGCCUCAACACCAUGUGUGUGGCGGUGGUACACUAUGAACAGCCUGAUAUCCUCUCCGACUUUCUCUUCUAUGCAGAGUUUAUAUUCUUGGGCCUGUUCAUGUCAGAGAUGUGUAUUAAGAUGUAUGGCUUGGGGACUAGGCCCUACUUCAACUCCUCCUUCAACUGCUUUGACUGUGUUGUGAUCGUGGGCAGUAUAUUUGAGGUGAUAUACGCGGUCAUUAAGCCAGGGACAUCGUUUGGCAUCAGUGUGUUAAGAGCCCUCCGACUCCUCAGGAUCUUCAAAGUCACCAAGUACUGGGCCCCUCUACGUAACUUGGUGGUAUCAUUACUCAACUCUAUGAAGUCCAUCAUCAGUUUGCUCUUCCUCCUCUUCCUCUUCAUUGUCGUCUUUGCCCUUUUGGGCAUGCAGCUCUUCGGUGGACAAUUCAACUUUGAAGGUGGCACGCCGGCCACCAACUUUGACACCUUUCCUGCAGCUAUAAUGACAGUAUUUCAGAUCCUGACGGGUGAAGACUGGAACAUGGUGAUGUAUGAUGGGAUCAAGUCUCAGGGAGGAGUAAACGGUGGAAUGGCCUACUCCGUCUUCUUCAUAGUGCUCACACUCUUCGGCAACUACACCCUGCUGAAUGUGUUCUUAGCUAUCGCCGUGGACAAUCUGGCCAAUGCUCAGGAGUUGACCAAGGAUGAGGAGGAGCAAGAAGAGGCAGCUAAUGCCAAGACAACCCUGCAGAAGGCCAAGGAGGUGGCUGAAGUUAGUCCUCUGUCUGCCGCUAACCUCUCCAUCGCUGCAGUGACAGUAACAAAAACUGAGCGUAUCGAUGCCACAGAGAAUGUGCUUGACUGUAAGGAGCAGCAGAAGAAUAACAAGGCUGGUGGUAAAUCAGUGUGGGAACAGAGGACCAGUGAGAUAAGGAGACAGAAUCUGAUGACCAGCAGAGAGGCCCUGUACAACGAGAUGGACACGGAGGACUGGAAGGUCAGGGGAGAGGGGGAGGGAGAGGUGUCGUACCCCCAUCGUGCGGGGGACAUGAAGACCCACCUGGACCGGCCGCUGGUGGUCAACCCCCAGGACAACCGCAACAACAACACCAACAAGACCCGGCCCGGAGAGCCCCCUCUAGACCUGCAGGACACCCUGGGUCACCAGAGGGCUGAAGAAUACAUCAGACGCCAGGCCUGCUACCAUCAGAGGAACAGGGGGGGCGAACCAAGGGGAGUUAGUGGCCCAGAAAGAGAGGCCCGUCUGGGGCACGGGGGGAGCAGAUUGUCCCUGCAGACGCUGGAGGGUAUUGAAGAAAGAAGGGAACAUGGAAGGAGAUGUAGGCAUAAAGAAGGGAAGGAGGGGAGGAGUGUGUCACCGCAUUAUAGCGAGGGAGGAGUGGGGGAUGAGAAGAGGAGGCACAGGAGGGUUAGGAGGGAGGGGGAGGAGGGAGGGAGAAGGCAUAAGUGUAAGGGGACAGAAGGGGUAGUGGUAGGGGAGGGGGGUGAGGUAGAGGGGGAGGGGAGGAGGCCGAGGCGUCAUCGGCAUGGAGAGAGGAGCCGACAGCAUCGAGUUAGAAAAGACCACCACUGCAGUGGCCCCAACCUCUCCACCGCUCGGCCCAUCCUCAGACAGGACAGUCAGUACAGGGAAGACCUAGACAACCUCCUCAACAACAGCAAACUACACGACCACACCCUCCACCCGCUGCCCCCGGGCCACCCUGACCUUGUGAAUAACCUCCUGAACCGCAGUGGGACAGCAGACACACAGCACCAUAGUAUGGACAGUCUAAUUCUGACCAGUAUGGCCAAGCCGGCUCAUACGCUCGUGGAUAUGAUGCCUCCUGUCUAUCCAUAUCCCUCCACCAAUGCCAUCCUGCAAGUGAACAAGAACGCUAACACAGACCAGAAAAAGAAGGAUGAAGAGAAGAAGGAGGAAGAGGAGGAUGAAGGGGGCGAUGAAGAUGGUCCCAAACCAAUGCCCCCGUUCAGCUCCUGUUUCAUACUGUCCACCACCAACCCGUUCCGUAGGUGCUGCCACUACAUCCUGACCAGGAAGUACUUUGAGUUCAGUAUCCUGUCUGUGAUCGCCAUGAGCAGCAUCGCCCUGGCUGCAGAAGACCCUGUCUGUCCUGAGUCACCAAGCAACCAAGUGCUGAAAUACUUUGACUAUGUCUUCACGGGCGUCUUCACGUUUGAGAUGUUGAUCAAGAUGGUGGUGCUAGGCCUGUUCUUACAUCAGGGUUCAUACUUCAGGGACCUGUGGAACAUCCUGGACUUUAUAGUGGUUAGUGGUGCUCUGGUGGCCUUCGCCUUCACGGGGACUGGCAAGGGGAAAGACAUCAGCACAAUCAAGUCUCUGAGAGUACUGAGGGUACUACGACCUCUCAAGACCAUCAAACGACUCCCCAAGCUAAAGGCUGUGUUUGACUGUGUGGUCAACUCCCUGAAGAACGUCCUGAACAUCCUCAUCGUCUACAUGCUCUUCAUGUUUAUAUUUGCUGUGGUGGCCGUGCAGCUGUUCAAAGGCAGAUUCUUCUACUGCACUGACGAGUCCAAGGAGUUUGAGCGCGAUUGCAGGGGAGAGUUUUUGGUGUACGAACGGAAUGAAGUAAAAGCUCAGAAGCGGGAGUGGAAGAAGUACGAUUUCCACUACGACAACGUGCCUUGGGCCCUGCUCACCCUCUUCACUGUGUCCACUGGAGAGGGCUGGCCGCAGGUGUUAAAGCAUUCGGUAGAUGCGACCUAUGAGAAUCAGGGUCCCAGUCCGGGCUACCGGAUGGAGAUGUCCAUCUUUUACGUGGUGUACUUCGUUGUCUUCCCCUUCUUCUUCGUCAAUAUCUUUGUUGCUCUCAUCAUCAUCACCUUCCAAGAACAGGGGGAUAAGAUGAUGGAGGACUACAGUCUGGAAAAGAAUGAGAGAGGAUGUAUAGACUUUGCCAUAAACGCCAAGCCCCUGACCCGCCACAUGCCCAAGAACAAACAGAGCUUCCAGUUCCGAAUGUGGUCGUUUGUGGUGUCCCCACCGUUCGAGUACAGCAUCAUGGGUCUGAUCGCACUCAAUACUAUAGUCCUCAUGAUGAAGUAUAACGGGGCGUCUGACACCUAUGAUAAAGUCCUGAAGAACAUCAACAUCGUCUUCACUACCCUCUUCUUCAUGGAGUGUAUUCUCAAGAUCAUCGCCUUCGGGAUUUUGAAUUAUUUUAAAGACGCAUGGAACAUUUUUGAUUUUGUCUCCGUGCUCGGAAGCUUCACUGAUAUCCUGGUGACAGAAUUUUGGGAGAAUAACUUCAUCAACCUGAGUUUCCUUCGACUGUUUCGAGCGGCUCGUCUCGUCAAGCUACUGAGACAAGGAGAGACUAUACGCAUCCUGCUCUGGACUUUCGUCCAGUCAUUUAAGGCGCUGCCCUAUGUGUGCCUCCUCAUUGGCAUGCUGUUCUUUAUCUACGCCAUCAUUGGGAUGCAGUUGUUUGGUAAUCUGGCACUGGGCGAGGAGGAAGGCAGCGCCAUCAACGAACACAACAACUUCAGGACUUUCAUCAUGGCACUCAUGUUACUAUUCAGGAGUGCGACAGGUGAGGCGUGGCAUGACAUCAUGCUGUCGUGUCUGGGGGGUAAGACGUGUGACCCAGACUCAGGGAACACAGAACCAGAGUGUGGCAGCACCUUCGCAUACACAUACUUCGUCUCCUUCAUCUUCUUCUGUUCUUUCCUGAUGCUAAAUCUGUUUGUGGCUGUCAUCAUGGAUAACUUUGAGUACCUGACCAGAGACUCGUCUAUACUCGGUCCUCAUCACCUGGACGAGUACGUCAGGAUAUGGGCCGAGUAUGACCCCGCUGCCUGCGGGCGCAUACAUUAUAAGGAUAUGUACAGUUUAUUGAGAGUAAUCUCCCCUCCUCUGGGCUUGGGCAAGAAAUGCCCUCAUAGGGUGGCCUGCAAGAGGCUGCUGCGCAUGGACUUGCCGGUUGCCGAGGACAACUCAGUGCAUUUCAACUCCACUCUCAUGGCUCUGAUUCGGACAGCGCUCGAUAUCAAGAUUGCCAAGGGAGGAGCUGACAAACAUCAGAUGGACGCUGAGCUAAGGAAAGAAAUGAUGGCCAUUUGGCCCAACCUCUCUCAGAAGAACCUAGACCUGCUGGUCACGCCACACAAGUCAGCCACAGACUUGACGGUGGGGAAGAUCUACGCUGCCAUGAUGAUCAUGGAGUACUACAGACAGAGCAAGGCCAAGAAGCUCCAGGCCCUACGCGAGGAGCAGAACCGAACACCGUUAAUGUUUCAGCGCAUGGAGCCGCCCUCCCCCGGGGGAGGAGAAGGGGGAGGAGGGGGAGGCCCCGACGGGACGGGAGGAGGGAUGCCAGGGGUCAACGGCCUCCCCGCCACACAGCACGACCCCAACAGCAUACCUCCAGAGGGGGGGAUGACAGAGAGCCAGUCGUGGGUGACAGCUAAAGCUCAGGAGAUGUUUAACAAGACGGGCAACUGGAGCCCAGAGAGACCCUACCCCGACCAUCUCCAUGACAACAGACACAACCCCCAGACGCUAGAGAUGAGAGAGAUGGGGCGGGACGGGUACUCGGACACUGAGCCCUGUCACCCAAUGCGAAUGGACAGGCAUGGUCGGACCAUCUCCAUGCCCCGCCUCUCAGACGACAACCAAAGUGUACACGAUGCUGCGCGGAGACGACACAGGCCCCGUGGACAUAACCACCUCAGUACCAUAACAGACACCAGCCCCAUGCGUCGGUCCACCUCCUCUCUGGUUCACGGGCGUUCUGGCAGGGAGAGGGGGGUGAGGCUGGAUGACUACAGCCUGGAGAGGGUAGAAGGAGAGGGGAGGCAUGGUGGGGGAGCAGGAGGGGGACAACGCAGGGACAGGAGGGAUAGGAGCCACCGCACCUCUCAGAGGUCCCUGACCAGAUACACAGACGCAGACACAGGGUUGGGCACAGACCUGAGCACCACCACCCAGUCUGGAGAACUCCCCCCCAAAGAGCGUGAACGUGAACGCGGUCGAGCCAAAGACCGCAGGCACCACCAUCAUCACCACCACCACGGUGGCUCCAUGGAGAAGGAGGGGCGCUUCGGGCCAGACAGACACGGGCCAGAGUUCACCCACAGACACCCCCACGACCAGGGGGACAGACACUGGUCCCGCUCUCCUAGUGAGGGGCCCGACGGACGGGGCCACAGACAGGGCAGUAGCUCGGUGAGCGGCAGCCCCGUUCCCUCCACGUCCGGUACCUCCACCCCCCGCCGUGGGCGCCGCCAGCUGCCCCAGACCCCCGCCGUGCCACGCCCCCACGUCACCUACUCCCCAGCCAUACGACACCCCAAGCCCACCUACGGAGCAGGUCCCCCUGGACGACUCCGCUCCCCCUCCCCCCGACACUUCUCCCCCCCGGAGCACGACGGAGGGGGGUAUCACCGUCCGCCAUCGCGUCACGUUUCCCCGCUUGAGCACGGAGGGUCGAGGCACGGGUCUCCGAGAUCGGCCCGGCACCAGUCGGGGUCUCGUUCACCUCCGCCCCACCAUGGGUCACCCCGGUCCCCCCGCCACGGGCGCUGGAGCGGUCCCCCUCCCGGGGAUAGUCUGGAGAGCGAGGGCGGCCCAUUCUAUGAGCGUGACUGCGAGUACGAGCGCCAGCAUGAGCCGCCCGCCUACGAGCAGAGCCUCAGCAACCCACAUCCCCACGGCAACCCCCACCCGCACGGCAACCCGCACCCACGCUCCCCCAGGACUGCCCGGCACGGGGGCGGCGUGGGCCCACCACCUCCACUUGCUCCCCCUCACCCCCGACGAGUCCCAAAUGGUUACCGCUCGUCUUCGCCCUCCCCGCACCGGCGAGGGCCCCCUCAUCAACACCCCCAUCCAGGGGGACCACCCCACCGGUCCCCCCCUCAUCACCGGGUCCCCCAUGGAGGCCCCAGAGGCCCCCGGAAGGGCCUGCACGAACCCUACAGCGAGACGGACGAGGACGACUGGUGCUAGCACAGCGAAGGAACAGAAGAACGAGGGAGGAGAGGAAGAGAGGAAAAGGAGGGAGGAGAGGAGUCUCUCCGUCUCCCCCGUCCUCUGUUCUUCGUUAUGCAGACUUGAAUGAAGGGUAAAGGGAUGCAGAAAGGGGUGAGGAAAGGAAAGGAGGAGAGGAGAAUUUGGGAGAAGUCUCUCCAUCCCUCUACCUCCACCCCUGAGACUCAGACUUGGAUGGAAUGAUGAAGGAUGGAGGGAUGGUUAGAGGAGAGGAGGCACACUGUGUGGGUGUGUGAGACUCUAAACUCAGAGCAAACAUGACAAAGAGAGACAGCUAUAAGGCAGAACUACACACCUCUCCUCUUCUCCUCUGUCUCAACUACCAUACCCAGAGUUCUCAGCGUGCCCAGGGGGGAGUGGAGAGGUGGAGAGGGAAGAAAGAACAAAAGAAUGAAAGGAAGGGAGGAGCAUGUGUAUUAAGUUACAAGUGGCCAAUGAAUAGUAAAUAUAAGCUCAUCUCCCAGACUGUUUAGGAGAUAGGUGGGUUAGUUAAGUUAAGCUAAACCUGGGUGCUCUUGCUGUUCUGUCAUUCUAUUCUACUAGCCUGAUAAGUGUUAGGAGCUAACAGCUAAACGCUAGCUAGCUAACACUGCUCUUGGUCUAACCUAGACGGACAUGUUUAAAAGAAAAAACAAGGAAAACCCAUGCCAGGACCCCCUAUCCUUAUACACGCCAAGCUAUGCCUCCAGAAAAAUCUAACUUGAAGACUAAAGAACAGAAAACAAAAACAAACUUUGAAAAAUAAAGAGGAGAAAAAAAGGGAGAACAACCACUUUAACUUAAACUUUCCUUAAAGGGACUGGACUAGAACCAGGAAGCUCCGCCUCUACUGCAAAAACCAGCCAAUGACAGAGCUGGCUGAUAUUUGAUGAGUUUUAUCAUCUCCUGUUUACUGUUACAGACUCACGAAAUGCUGACGACGGACCUGGUGUGACCUCACUUCCUGUGGGUGGGGCCUAGUGUGACAUCACGUCCUGUUCCGGUGGGUGGGGCCACAGGGGAGGGGCUGGGGGCAGAGUCAUGGACCCUUAGGGGGCGUAGUUUGUUUGCCCCCACUAUCUUCUCUCCCCCCUUCCUCUCUCCUCCAUCCUGCCGAAAAAGAAAGGACAGGAAAGGAAAAUGAUGGGAGGAGGAGCGAAAAGAAAGAAGGGAGGGAAAAGACGAUUUCUUCAGUAUUUCUUCUAUCGAUUACUUCUUCUUCUUCUAAUUCUUCUUCUUGGACAUUGGAGCUUGGUUCUUCUGUUGCAUUCGCUCAAGCCUCUGUUAAUCCGUUAUGAUGCAUGAAGGAAUUUAACAACAACAAAAAUACCUAGAGAGAAAAUCUACUGUUGGGGAUAUGGGGGCAUAUUGGGUUUAUCGAACAUUUACAUUUUAGGUUUUGAUUGAAGAAGUUCUCUUUUUCUGACUCUCUCUCUCUCUCUCUCUCUCUCUCUCUCUCUCUCUCUCUCUCUCUCUGACUCUGUCUAUCAUCAUGCGUUUGUUUAUUGGGUAAAUAUUUGUUCUAUAUCACCCUAAGGAUCCGAUGGACAACCUUUUUUAAGUUUGAUUUCCGCCCAAUAGGGUUUUAAAGCUACCAUUUUCUUAUCUUGAAAGUACUCCUAAGUUCCUGAGAUACUCCUAAAUUUUACUAAGAUAUUCCUGUUGUACUAAGAUAUUCCUAAAUUGUUUUGAGGAAUAAGUAAGAAUUGAGAGAGCUGUGAGGAGAGAGAGAGAACUUCAACCUCUUUAAAUAAGUGAUUUGUAUUGUUAAUAAUGACGAUGGUCCUAUAAAUACUGAUAUCAAUGUCAAUGCAAAACGAUGAAUGAUGAUAGUUGUUUGCCGUAGAUCUGUUGUCAUGUUUUUUGGAGUUUCAAUCUGCUGUGUCAUCUAGUUUUCAUCGUUUAUUUUCCUUGGGUUCUGUUCAAACUGUUCCCAAACUGUUCCCAAACUGUCCCAAACCUGUUUCCCAAACUGUUUCCCAAACCUGUUUCCCAAACUGUUCCCAAACUGUUCCCAAACUGUUCCCAAACUGUCCCAAACCUGUUUCCCAAACUGUUUCCCAAACCUGUUUCCCAAACUGUUCCAAACUGUUCCAAAACGCCUUUAACCGGGUCCGAUACAUGCAACACGCAUAAACUUUUCAGGGAGGGGUUAGAUGUCGGAUUGUGAUUGUGAGCAACACAGAUAGAACUGUGUAGCGUUGUGUAACGCAGCUCUUUACCUCUGAUCGGUCCCCCCUCAGUGGUAGACAGAGAACCGGGGCCACGUUCAGUAGCCAAAUGUUGUCAAACGUUGCAGAUAGAAAUGUCAUUAACAGAGCCGACGUGGUUCUUUAUUCUACAUGUAAGAGAUGCAUGUUUGUUCUAAAUAGCAUUUUUCUAUCCGAGCGUUCCAGAAACAUUGUGUCCUGCUGAGUGCGCCCCAGUCACAGCCAAAUGAACCGGCCAACCAACCGUCAGACCUCCACAAGUAUCUGAUUUAUAGCUAGAACCGUAGAGUUAGAAAGAGGACUUAUACCGGGUUAUAUCCACCUAGAGCCCUCUUUCUACCUCUAUGUUGUGAACGAGCUCCACCUCACAUCCCCAAGAGCUCUCCACUAGCUGUCUAGUCUCUCUGUCUUUCUGAUUUCCCAUGACAUGUUUAGCACUGAGCUGCUUGCUUUACCAAGCCAGAGGAGAACAUUCUAGAAACAUUUUAUAAUCUCUAAGACGUUCUAGAAACUCUCGUCUAGACUCUAGAAACUCUAGUACAUUCUAGAGCAUUCUUUAGACAGGUUAGCUAACAUGAUUGUUUCCAGAUGUUUUGGAUUAAAACAUAUUUAUUUUGCUAUGAUUACAGUUAUGUAGAUUGUAACAGAUAUUCCCUAUCAUAACUCGUAAAAUUAUAGAUACAAUAUAGAUAUAUAGAGAUAUAAAAAUGUAUAUAUUAUAGAGAGAUAAACAUACUUUUAUUUACUUCAAACACUAGGUACGUGGCUAGAGCUCAGAAACUCUCCAUUGAAAUCAGCUACACAGAUUCAAAUUGCACUUUGUCCCGGUAGCUCCACACAAUAUCCCACUACAAACUCUAUGCAGAUCUAUCCAACAUCCAUUUCUCCUUUACCAUUACAGUGCAGAGUGGUUGUGCCAUUAUAAAUAAAUGACAAUACGUAAGUGAGCGCAUAGAAAUAGAAUGUGUAGAACAGGCCUCCCAAUUCAAGUCAAUGAUGGCAUAUCUAUAGAUUAUAUUUCUAUGGGUCAGAUAGUGUAUAUACAGCAUUUUAAUAUAGAUGGAUAGAACUAUAUAGGUAGAGGGUAUGCCCACAUCGUUUUGCUUUUGCACAAUCACUCACGAUAUCCUUAUCCUUCAUAGCACAUCUUUCCUUUAUUUUUUACCCUCUUGCAGUGUUUUGUCCUCUCCUGCUCCCUCUAUCGUUCUCCCAAGCUGUCCAAUCCCAUACACCACCCCUGCCCUCCGUAUAGGUAGGUCCAGAGAGAGGGGGGGGCCUACAUUUACCACCCCUGCCCUCCAUAUAGGUAGGUCCAGAGAGAGGGGGGGGCCUACAUAUACCACCCCUGCCCUCCGUAUAGGUAGGUCCAGAGAGAGGGGGGGGCCUACAUAUACCACCCCUGCCCUCCGUAUAGGUAGGUCCAGAGAGAGAGGGGGGGCCUACAUAUACCACCCCUGCCCUCCAUAUAGGUAGGUCCAGAGAGAGAGGGGGGGGCCUACAUAUACCACCCCUGCCCUCCAUAUAGGUAGGUCCAGAGAGGGGGGGGCCUACAUAUACCACCCCUGCCCUCCAUAUAGGUAGGUCCAGAGAGAGGGGGGGGCCUACAUAUACCACCCCUGCCCUCCGUAUAGGUAGGUCCAGAGAGGGGGGGGCCUACAUAUACCACCCCUGCCCUCCAUAUAGGUAGGUCCAGAGAGGGGGGGACCUACAUAUACCACCCCUGCCCUCCGUAUAGGUAGGUCCAGAGAGGGGGGGACCUACAUAUACCACCCCUGCCCUCCGUAUAGGUAGGUCCAGAGAGAGGGGGGGGCCUACAUAUACCACCCCUGCCCUCCAUAUAGGUAGGUCCAGAGAGAGAGGGGGGGGGGCCUCCAUAUACCACCCCUGCCCUCCAUAUAGGUAGGUCCAGAGAGAGAGGGGGGGGGCCUCCAUAUACCACCCCUGCCCUCCAUAUAGGUAGGUCCAGAGAGAGGGGGGGGGGGGCCUACAAAUACCACCCCUGCCCUCCGUAUAGGUAGGUCCAGAGAGAGAGGGGGGGGGCCUCCAUAUACCACCCCUGCCCUCCGUAUAGGUAGGUCCAGAGAGAGGGGGGGGCCUACAUAUACCACCCCUGCCCUCCGUAUAGGUAGGUCCAGAGAGAGGGGGGGCCUACAAAUACCACCCCUGCCCUCCGUAUAGGUAGGUCCAGAGAGAGGGGGGGGCCUACAUAUACCACCCCUGCCCUCCGUAUAGGUAGGUCCAGAGAGAGGGGGGGGUCUACAUAUACCACCCCUGCCCUCCGUAUAGGUAGGUCCAGAGAGAGGGGGGGGCCUACAUAUACCACCCCUGCCCUCCGUAUAGGUAGGUCCAGAGAGAGAGGGGGGGCCUACAUCAGAGGGGUGUUCAUCUACCCAGAAACCCCAGUGCCUCAGUGCCUUCUGUUUUCAGAGUCACAUCUACCCUUCCCCACUCGCCCCUCGCCCCUCACCAACCCCCUCACCCCCACCUGUGGUUGAUCAACAUCAACCACACUACGCCUUAAAGAGUCCUAGUCGCUGUCUGUGGGCAGGUAGCGGUUGGGAGCAAGGCAGUAGGGACUGGGCUUUGCUUAGUUGGUUGGAACAGUGAGUAAAGCGCAGGAAGAGAGGGGAAUGGAAACUAUUUUUGAUAUGGCGGCCAUUUUGGGGAUCUCCUUUGCCCAGUUUCACACAGUGUAGUGAGAUACUGUAAUUGCAGGGGCGAAAAGGCAAUGAUUUGUUUACUUCUCAGGUGUCUCUAGAGAUAGAUAGCUAGAUAGAUAGAAUCUACACUAUAUAAUAGGCACGCUAAGGCAGUUAGUCAGUUAUAUCAUAUAAUAUGAUAUAAAUUUAUGAAAUCAUAUGAAAAAAUAUAGGCCUAGGGUUUGAGUUACUGUAUGGUUUGUUAUCUGGCAUGGGCAUUUGUAAUGUCUUCCCUUCUCCCCUUAACCUCCAUUACAGACCACCUACCAUUCAUCAUGAAUCUGCCGCUGAAACCUACUUGCACUUGACACUGUGGGUGUCCACUGACCAGGCAGGAAACUGACUACUCCAUUUCGGCUCAGCAACACCAACAUGCUUGUCCAGAAUUGUACCUGUAGAUCCAAAAUGGCUGACAUCGACACACAACACUGCCAUUGAAUUAAAGCAUGUUGUGUGGAUUGUGUGCUCCAACCAUUAUAAAAUGAAUGACCAUUUUAAGGGGUUUAUUUUAUUUAUUUUUAAAUCCAGAAGAUUUGUGAAAAGGAGGCUUUACGAAGUUUACAGUUUACUCUCAAUCGUUCAUCCAUCCAUCCUACCUUCCUAUCCAUGUAUUUUUUGUCUUUCCUUUCUCUUUCUGAUGUGACUUCUUGAUCGACUCUCUCUAUCAUUUUUUCCUCCUCUUUGAGAAAGCAGACGUCCUGCGAAAGCCAAUCCAACCCCAUUCACUCAAUCGAUCAACUGUUGUGCGUUUGUGAAAUGAUGUAAAUGAUUGGUGUGUGAGGCUAGUGUUUGUUGAAACAGAAAUAAGGGCUCUCCUAACAAACUUAAGGGGUUUCAUGUACAGGCAGGUACAGUAGUGCUGCCAAAAGUCAUCUGUAUGUAUCUCAAACCAUACAGUGGUGUGGUCUCCCCUUGUACAGCACUAGGUGUGUGCAUGCGUGUGUGUUGGGGUCAAAGGUCAGGGUGAGAGAGUCUAUGUGGGGGGGGGGGGGCACAGCAGGGGGUACGUUCCGCUGAGGUGAAACGUAAUGGUAUGUUCUGCUGAGGCGAAACGUUCUGGAAAAGAACAGAUAGAAAUGUAAUGAAUAGAGCUGACACGACACCCUUUUCUGUCAGACUGACAAGCAUAUCCGUUCUACUUGAUGCAUUUCUAUCUGAAUGUUUUCUGUAACAUUUGCACCCUCCUGAACAGACCCCGGUUAGAAGUAGUGUCACAAGUCACAUUAUUUCACAAAUGGCACUGGAACGUUCUUGGUUCAUUUUCUAGCUCCGCCUUCUUCCGCUUGCCAAUACAGCCUUCAUUAUGAUGUCAUCAGCUGCCAUUUUCUCAUUGACCUCCACCUGCAUCCCCCAGCUCAUUUUGGAGUGGAGGGUCACCAACCUCAUCAGGGCUGGGUUUACUGGCAUGACAGUGAGACAUUCCUCUGUGUCUGUGUGUUGUGUUCGUGUGUGUUUGCUACAUGUGUGUGCGCGUGUGUGAGUGAGUGAGAGAGUAUGUGCAUGAGUGAGUGCGUGCGUGCGUGUGAUCACACCUCAUCUACAGUAAGUUAUCUUCAGUGCCUUACACUGUACAGUAGGAACCAAAUCUUCUUUGUAGAUAGACAACACACACUGCACUGAAUAACGCUUUCAUAAUGUUUCCAUAACAUUUUCUCUCCAACUGUACUCUUCUCUCCAUCCAGUAUUGCCUCACCUACCAUUCUAUUCCUUCUCUCUCUGUGAUCGACGAGUAAGGUCUGGAGGGAGGGCAUGGGUGAAUGAAUAGGUGAUCGUUGUGUUGGGUCUGUCAUCAUUCUCUUUCUCUCUCUGUACAUUUGCUCUGUAAACUCUUCUUGUGUACAUCUUCCAUAAACUUUCUGAAACAAUCAGACCAUGUCCAUCUAUUUUCUCUUUUAUCGCCCCUCAAUUUAUUUUUCAACAUUUACAUUUCAAUCAUUUAGCAGAUGCUCUAAUCCAUUGUGACAUAGUGUCUACAACAUCAUUCCCACUCUUUAAUUGUGCUUGAAGUCUCACUCAAGUAAUGUCCAUGUACAUGUUAUACCAUACAUGAACACAAGGUGGUGCACUCAUGCUUUAAACAGAGUGUACAUUGGUCGACAUAACGUACCCUUCAGAGGCCUAUGUGUAUGUUGUCAUUAUAUUGUUUUCGCAGGAGAACGGGUGAGUAUCGUGUGUGUAUGUGCGCAUGUGCAUGUUUGGAGACUUCAGUGAGUCUAUGUGGACGUGUGUGUGUGUGUGUGUGUGUGUGUGUGUGUGUGUGUGUGUGUGUGUGUGUGUGUGUGUGUGUGUGUGUGUGUGUGUGUGUGUGUGUGUGUGUGUGUGUGCGCGUGUGCGCGUGUUUGUGUGUGUCUUUACGUGACAUCACACACACACACAGCGACAACACCAAGAUUCUUGACGACCGUGGGUGUGAUUGAUUCUAGAGAUGUGUGGAGCGUCUUCUACUGUCACCAUGGAAACCCUCAAGGCCCCUGACUCUUCAUUCCAUACAGUCUCCCAGCCAUCACAUUAUAAUAUCACAAUACCAUCAAUUUGUCCCAUAGACACUGAUUUAAGAUCCGUUUUCAGUGUUAACCUCCUUAUGGUGAAGCAUAGGAGUGAGGUGGGGUGAAUCUACAGUAGAAACCAUACCAUAUCAGUCCAGUGCCACAGUAGAGAACCAUACAAGACAGGAGUCCUUUUAGGAAGCAAGAAGAGAAAAGACACGACAUAACUACAUGGCAAUUUAAGAUAAAAAGAGAAGUAUUUAAAUAACAGAUUUGCAUGUGCAAUGUGCAUGCCACUACGUGGGGUUAAAUAAGUCAACUUCAGGAAUAAAAUAAAAUAAAAAAUAUUAAGAGAAAAAAAGUAUAUAUAUAUGUAUAAAUAUAUAUAGAUAGAUGUUUUUAAGAGCAAUGUGUUCCUUUUUCUUCUAUUUUUAAAAACAAACAACUGGAGAAAAAAACUUGGACAAAAAAAAUAGAUAGAUAAUCUUUAAAAAGAAGAACUUUGGUGAUGUAAUCAAAGAAUGUUUUUGUUUGUUACUUGACAGUUAAUUCACUAAAGAGCUGCGACGGCGGGGAGGUAGACGAUUUAACACUUUAAACAAAAUGUUGAAACAUUACAUUACAACAACAAAAAUUAAGAAAAGAUAAAUAAAAGAUAAACAUGGAAUGAAGGAAUACAUUUUUCCUUAAUUAAAGAAAAACAAAAAUCCCUUGAUUGAGAGUCUUGAGAGCUGCCUGAUGACUCUGGUUAUGAUGUUACCCGUUUAUUCCGGCUAUGAAAUCUCUUUUUCUCUCGCUCUCUAUCUCUGCUAUUUCUACCAGUGCAUUUUGUUACUCCGAACAGAACUCUUCCUAAGGAACCUGAAUAAAACCAGAGAGAAUGCAUUCUA
RNA transcript from Salvelinus fontinalis (brook trout), 17643 nucleotides. It is a transcript of the gene named voltage-dependent P/Q-type calcium channel subunit alpha-1A-like, with no coding region annotated. Lineage: Eukaryota; Metazoa; Chordata; Actinopteri; Salmoniformes; Salmonidae. The transcript has 51 exons. The record is from RefSeq and is a predicted model, not a curated record.